This 91-nucleotide transfer RNA is filed under the name Felis catus (domestic cat). It matches the Rfam family "tRNA". Rfam says of the family: Transfer RNA (tRNA) molecules are approximately 80 nucleotides in length. Their secondary structure includes four short double-helical elements and three loops (D, anti-codon, and T loops). Further hydrogen bonds mediate the characteristic L-shaped molecular structure. tRNAs have two regions of fundamental functional importance: the anti-codon, which is responsible for specific mRNA codon recognition, and the 3' end, to which the tRNAs corresponding amino acid is attached (by aminoacyl-tRNA synthetases). tRNAs cope with the degeneracy of the genetic code in two manners: having more than one tRNA (with a specific anti-codon) for a particular amino acid; and 'wobble' base-pairing, i.e. permitting non-standard base-pairing at the 3rd anti-codon position. Lineage: Eukaryota; Metazoa; Chordata; Mammalia; Carnivora; Felidae. The record is from Rfam by way of RNAcentral.
GCCUGGGUGGCUUAGUUGGUUGAGCGUCCAACUCUUGAUUUCAGUUCAGGUCAUGAUCCCAAGGUCAUGGGUUCGAGCCCCAUGUCAGGCU